GUGGUAAUUCUAGAGCUAAUACAUGCUAAAAACCUCGACUUCGGGAGGGGUGUAUUUAUUAGAUUAAAAACCAAUGCCCUUCGGGGCUCUUUGGUGAUUCAUAAUAACUAAACGAAUCGCAUGGCCUUGCGCCGGCGAUGGUUCAUUCAAAUUUCUGCCCUAUCAACUUUCGAUUGUAGAGUAGUGGUCUACAAUGGUUUCAACGGGUAACGGGGAAUUAGGGUUCUAUUCCGGAGAGGGAGCCUGAGAAACGGCUACCACAUCCAAGGAAGGCAGCAGGCGCGCAAAUUACCCAAUCCCGACACGGGGAGGUAGUGACAAUAAAUACUGAUACAGGGUUCUUUUGGAUCUUGUAAUUGGAAUGAGUACAAUGUAAAUACCUUAACGAGGAACAAUUGGAGGGCAAGUCUGGUGCCAGCAGCCGCGGUAAUUCCAGCUCCAAUAGCGUAUAUUAAAGUUGUUGCAGUUAAAAAGCUCGUAGUUGAACCUUGGAUCUGGCUGAUCUGUCCUCCUAAUCGAGCGCACGGAUUCGGCUGGAUCUUUCCUUCUGGGGAACCCUAUGCCCUUUACUGGGCGUAGUGGGGAACCAGGACUUUUACUUUGAAAAAAUUAGAGUGUUCAAAGCAGGCCUUUGCUCGAAUACAUUAGCAUGGAAUAAUAGAAUAGGACGUUGG
Molecule: ribosomal RNA, 674 nt
Filed under: Chaetothyriales sp. A860
Lineage: Eukaryota; Fungi; Ascomycota; Eurotiomycetes; Chaetothyriales
Also listed under: 1 other name
Description: SSU rRNA
Rfam family: Eukaryotic small subunit ribosomal RNA
Source: RNAcentral